AGUUCUUUGUAGGAGAGAACAUGAAUCCAGAUGGUAUGGUGGCUCUCCUGGAUUUCCGUGAGGAUGGUGUGACCCCAUAUAUGAUUUUCUUUAAGGAUGGCUUAGAAAUUGAGAAGUGUUAACAAAUCAAACUAUGGUUUUUGGAUCACCUGUCUUCAUAGCUGGCUGCUGUUUCUUCAUCGGCACACCACCAGGAAUUGGCAAUGUCUAACUGGACUGAUGUCAUCUUGAGCUUUAUUCACUUAAUUUUGACCCUGAUUUGGAGUGGAGGCAUUGUUUUAAAAAAAAAGAAAAAAACAAACAUCUGUCAUGUAGGUUGUCUAAAAUAAAACUCAUUUAAACCCAUUCUA
Tauraco erythrolophus (red-crested turaco) is the source of this 350-nucleotide non-coding RNA. The record is from RefSeq and is a predicted model, not a curated record. Lineage: Eukaryota; Metazoa; Chordata; Aves; Musophagiformes; Musophagidae.